RNAcentral lists this unclassified non-coding RNA (236 nucleotides) under uncultured fungus. RNAcentral's name for it is "partial contains 5.8S ribosomal RNA, internal transcribed spacer 2, and large subunit ribosomal RNA". The stretch from base 1 to 52 matches the Rfam family "5.8S ribosomal RNA", at positions 103 to 154 of the family's 154-position model. Lineage: Eukaryota; Fungi. The record is from RNAcentral.
AACGCACAUUGCGCCCCGUGGUAUUCCGCGGGGCAUGCCUGUUCGAGCGUCAUUUCAACCCUCAAGCCCCGCUUGGUGUUGGGCCCUGCCCGCGUGGCCGGCCCUAAAGACAGUGGCGGUGCCGUGCGGCCCUAAGCGUAGUACAGCUCUCGCUCUAGGGUCGCGCGGUGGCCUGCCAGAACCCCCCAACUCUCGUGGUUGACCUCGGAUCAGGUAGGGAUACCCGCUGAACUUAA